Long non-coding RNA from Ornithorhynchus anatinus (platypus), 491 nucleotides. RefSeq lists it as uncharacterized. The record is from RefSeq and is a predicted model, not a curated record. The transcript is spliced from 4 exons. NCBI's taxonomy places the organism in Eukaryota, Metazoa, Chordata, Mammalia, Monotremata, Ornithorhynchidae.
GUGAUGGUCCAUAUUGCUCUCUUGAAUAUUCAUUCAUCUUUCUUUUUCUUUCUCUCUCUUUCUCUCUCUCUUCCCGACACUUUGCCAAUUAAAACCUAAAUCUACAUACUGGCUUCCAAGCCCUGCCAUGAGCCACACAGGUCCAUGGAGGGGGAGUAGAAAGUGCUGGUGAUGCUUCUGGAGAUGAUGGUGUUCAGAGGUGGAAGGACGGCCACUUUUCUGGCAGAAACAGAUUUUCGGUCCUGAGACUUCAGGACUGAGGCCCAUGCAUUGUUCCUGACAGGAAACAUUAUCAUCAUCAUCGCCAGCAUCAUCAGCAGCAGCAGCAGCAAAUGGCUGUCACUUCAAAACUGGGGCCACCCCAUGCCAAGCAGUGGAAGCCCGCAGCGUGGAAUCGGAGCUUUUGGAGGGAGGCCCGUACUCCAUCUGGCGGAGGAAGCCAUUAUGAGGCCAGCAGCACAGAACUCAAUCUCUCUCUCUGGCGGGCUUUG